GCUGCCCUAUUCUGAAGUGAUCUUCGGGCCAGUUUUAAGUGUGUGGUUUUUCUGGUCUUUGAGCUAAUUUUAAAGACAACAACAACAACAAUAAUAAUAGCGUUUGAGGAUUUUCUAAGUUGGAUUGCCUGCACUCAAGGGUCAAAGCUGUUUUCGGGCGGAAAUGAUCCCACUCGUUGCAGGACUUUCACAUGUGCGCGCAUGCACACUAAGAUCUACACGCAGUGUGUGAGACUGACCACCCCACAACACGAUAAACAUCCUAAGAAGUUUGCUUUCCCCACUGGUGAGAUUUCACCACACUGCUUUAUGCAGAACGCCUGUAGGCUGGCUAAAAUUUGUUGUUACCCUUGCCAUUAUCAAUACUCUCCGAAUUGGCACCGCGUUCGGGGAUGUUGAGUUAACUAAUUUCCAGCAGGGCUAAAGAUAACCUCUCCCUCUAAGCCUCUAUUUUUUUUUUUUUUUUUGCAACGUCAUCGAGCGAGGCGAGGUUAACCCACCACGACGGAAACAGAUCAAAGUCAGUGCAGAGUCCAGGCUGCACCCGUGCAGCGCACAGGGGCAGAGGGGCUGGCAGCACGGCCGGGUCCGGGGCUCAGCCCACGGAAGCCCGCAGGACUGGGGACCCACGGAAGCCCGCAGGACUGGGGACCCACGGAAGCCCGCAGGACUGGGGACCCACGGAAGCCCGCAGGACACGGGCUCUGCCUCGCAUCUGGAGUCCUCCAGCGUGAAACCCACGAGAAGUUGCUUCUGGGUGAACCCCGCUCCACACGGUCCAUUUCUAAUGUUCUGCCUUAGCCCAGGCCCGGGGUCAUGGGCCCAACCAGCAAAGACUCAACUCCACAGUGAGCUGAAAUAAACCCUCUCUCAGUACCUCUUUAUCUCAAGUAUUUGCUACAGUAAUGGAGAGCCGAUGAAUUCAGAUGGCAGUUCAACCUCUGCCCUCACAUUCCCUCCCAGAAGGCACUGACUGGGUCUGUAUUUGCUCCUCUGCACUUCUUUUAUGAAUCACAGAUGGAGCUGCCUUUGUGCACACAUACAUUUUUCAUUUAUCUGUCAGGAAAUGUUUCCUGAGGCUCUUGCUCUGCGGAGUGUACCUCCAGUGGUUGACUCUAGGACAGACAUGGCUCCUGCUCACACACAGCUUCUGACCCCGUUUGCCAACAAGCACCACCCCCCACCCCCACCCCACUUGGGAGAGACGGCCCCACUCCUCACGACCCUGAUGGAUGGUGCAGGGGAGCUGGCCAUGCCCCUUGCCUUCCUGAGGUGGACGGCCCUAGUGGCACAGACCGACUAGCUCAACUACCACCCAGGCCCACAGCCCGACAUCUGUCUCAUGGAGGACCUGCUGGAGCUCGUGACGGGACUGGUCCUGUGGAACGAUACCAGCAGGAUCUCCAUGACUGGAGGCAGCCAAGGGAUGUCCUAGAGGAGUUCCGGGGAGGAUCCAGUGAUGACGGUGUAGAGGCCUUGAACCAGACCAGUGACUCAUUGCAAUGAACAUUGGCAAGUAAAGUACCAGGAUGAGUGAAGAGGAUUGGAGACAGGAAGCCUAUUUAUUUUUCUGAAUCUGAAGGUAGAAGGUUAAGGAAUUCCCAGGCAGAAGGACAUCAUGUCCAACCUAGGCUUUGGAUUUAUUGGUGUUUAACUCACAGCAGCUCUAGUUUGUUAGAACUGUGUUUAAAGGUGUAUGGUACAUUUGGGCAAACAGAAGAGAACAGACAUCCAGGUUAAAAAGCAUUACAUUUUAAAAACAAUUUUUAUUUAUUUUAAUUAAAUAAAAUUCAAAAUUAA
Molecule: non-coding RNA, 1800 nt
Organism: Peromyscus maniculatus bairdii (prairie deer mouse)
Lineage: Eukaryota; Metazoa; Chordata; Mammalia; Rodentia; Cricetidae
Source: RefSeq, a predicted model, not a curated record